This 653-nucleotide small RNA is filed under the name Histoplasma capsulatum. RNAcentral describes it as "hypothetical RNA". Lineage: Eukaryota; Fungi; Ascomycota; Eurotiomycetes; Onygenales; Ajellomycetaceae. The record is from RNAcentral.
CCAUUGGCAAUAGUUCCUCUAUUCUAUCAUAUUGCUGAAGGAGGCAAUGUAUUCAAGUAUAUAGAGACGGAUACUAGUAUAGACCUAACUAAAUAUCUUCCUUCACCGCCUAGCCAUAAAGUCUGUUUUUUCUCCCUAGGUUAAUUUUAAUGUCGGCGAUGCAGCCUGCCUGCUUCAUUAUCGAUGAAGGUAUGAAAGUUUUACUUUUUUUUUUUUUUGUUGUCCGUAGACGAGCGCCGGUCGUGGGCAUUGCCAAUUGGCUAUUCAUGUUGGAUAUUGACCUGGUUGCCGCUGGGUAGUAUUAUGGUAUUAUUAUGCUCAUUGCGACAGAUGCUGAGGAUUUGAACUCAUCAUUACUGGGGCUGUUAAAUGGCGCAAGGCUCAAAGGGGGUAUUUUUUCCUGGUAACGAAGUUGACAAUGGCUCCAGCGGUCCGAGAAUGAUGCAGGUCUAUGCGUGGCACCAAAAAGGGGAUUGUGCCGAACUAGCAUAAGCAUCCUUCGCAGUAUUGUCGUCCCGUCGGUUGCGCUAUUUCUUUUGAAGAGCGGAUGCCAUCAACUGAGCAUCUCCAAUCAAAGUGGAGGAGAGCCUUUGUUGUUGAGUAAUAUUUCAUUCAGAACUCAACCCGCCAAAAAACAUAUCCUCGUGACGAAC